RNAcentral lists this long non-coding RNA (1336 nucleotides) under Daphnia magna. Its description in RNAcentral is "uncharacterized LOC116915370, transcript variant X3". The record is from RNAcentral. Lineage: Eukaryota; Metazoa; Arthropoda; Branchiopoda; Diplostraca; Daphniidae.
GGCGGGGUGUGUACUUGUGUGACUUGAUGUGGCGUUGCAUGUGGAAGGCCCCGUUGGUAAUGAUCGCAGACUGGUCAUUUGAUGAUACGUGUGCACAGUGGUAGUGCUUGGGUGCCUCAAGAGGGAAUCGCAGAAUAUAGCCAUAGAUCUAAAAGUCAUAGAAGAUUUUUUAAACUGUUAUUUGAUUUUGUGUUGUUUCAGCAGUAGUAUGUCCUUCAACAAUCUGUUAUGUCCAACCAUGGAGUGAGUCGCAUGUGACUAAGUCAACCAAACAGGAAAACAACAACAAUCAGUCAGCAAUGGAAUUAGUCAGUGGAAAACAACACCUUCAAUCCUGAGGAUGGUUUUGAGUUUAUCUAUUCAUGAUUGAAAUUUGCCAUGUUUUCAGGCCUUCCGAACUUUACCAUUUUCAUGGUAUACUUAAUUGCUUGUCGGUGGAUUGUUGUUGGCAUCAUUUGAAUGGUAUGGUCCAUAUAAGCAGUGUUAUGAUGCACUUCUUAAAUACACCAAUCCAUGAGAAAAUAUUCUAAUUGAAAUUAUGGAAAUUUCUGCCCUUCAUGCAGAACUGCACAAUGAUGGGUUUGUAUAAACAAGCUUAAAAUAACAAACAGUAUUUUUGGUUUGGCUUACACAUACAACUCUAUGACAUGUUGAUGUUAGCUAAAUUGUUAUUAAUCAUAGGACUAGGUAGUAUGAAAUGAAAUAUCUUCUCUUGGAAGCUUGUGUCUAUGGGUUUGUUUGAGAUGACCCUUAAGGCAGGAAGCUUUUCCUGCUUCUUACGAAAAGGGACAUUGGAUGCCUUGAUGUCUAAUACCAACCAAGUGACAUUGCAAAGAUAGGUAGAGUAAUCGCAAUGUUGUGGAAAUAAUUCGCGAGAGAUAUGCCAAUAGGGUUUCGCUGUUUUCAAUUCGCAAUCAUAAUGGAUUCGAAGAGGAUAUUGAUGGAGUUUUGGUAUAAAAGAUUGUUUAAAGGUUGAUUUUCAAUAGACAUAGAUAGUCAUUUGAAUGGUGCUGUUCAUAUCUGCAGCCUUGCAGUGUGCAAAAAUAGACGGUAAAAAAAUCUGCUCAUCAUGCCGAUCUGCACGAUGCCAGCUUCAUUAAGCAAUCUUGAAAUGACCUAUGAACAGACUACACAGUAUUAAAGGACUUUUCCCCUGAGAAAAUUUGUAGCUGUGGACUUUCUUUAGAAUACUCUUGUAUCAAAUAUUUUCCUGCUUCUUGAAACAUGGAAAAUAGGAUUUCUCGAUGCCAACCAAAUGUCCUUGCAAAUAUUGUAAAAAGAUGUUAAAGGUAUUUGACAAAUCUGUAAUCAUGUUAAUAAAGUGGCUUUUUUGGUA